RNAcentral lists this ribosomal RNA (302 nucleotides) under uncultured bacterium. RNAcentral's name for it is "partial 16S ribosomal RNA". It matches the Rfam family "Bacterial small subunit ribosomal RNA", at positions 524 to 821 of the family's 1533-position model. The record is from RNAcentral.
UACGUAGGAUGCAAGCGUUGUCCGGAAUUAUUGGGCGUAAAGAGUUCGUAGGCGGUUGCCUAAGUCUGUUGUUAAAGGCCUGAGCUCAACUCGGGUAUGGCAAUGGAUACUGGGCGGCUAGAGUGUGGUAGAGGUCACGGGAAUUCCAGGUGUAGCGGUGAAAUGCGUAGAUAUCGGGAGGAACACCAGUGGCGAAGGCGACUACCUGGCCUGUUCUUGACGCUGAGGCGCGAAAGCUAGGGGAGCAAACGGGGAUUAAGAAACCCGGGGAUAGACCCAGGACCGAACGUCUCUCGACUACC